AUCUUAGUAUAUUUUGGUUAAUAUAUUGGAAGAAUUUUGAUACUUUGAAUUGUAUUUUCAAUAUAGGACUUUCGACUUCCUCUGGAGCAAAACAGGACCAAAUGGACGAAUUUUGGAGUAAUUCCAAUUGGAGGACGUUCGUGAGUCAAUUAGCUUGAUCGUAUCAAAAUUUGGGAUUUUUCCACCAAGCAGUUAUUUUCUGGCGAUGAAAUAAAGAAGCAGUGCGCAGUGCUGGAAAGUGACGUUUUUGGGCUUAAAUGACGUUUUUGGAGCCCAAGAUGACCUCGGAUGGGUUCGUGGCCUUCUGGAAAAGUGUUCAGAAUAUUCCAAACAUCAAAUCCAGCUAUAUUGGGCCAGUUUUGGAGCAGCUUUUGGGCCAAAACGUGGCUGUUCAGAUUUUAGACGAAUUUUACUAUUUUUAUUUAGGGUUUUUAUUAAUUUUAGUUGGCUAGGGUUUUUGUGGUGGCUUAGCAAAUAUAUUGCUGAGCCGUCUACAGUUUUAUGGUACGUUUUAUUUUAUGCAAUAUUGGAGACAGGGAGAAGUGCUAGGGUUUUGAAGAUUUUCUACUUGAAGGUGUUUUCAAUCCUUUUCUUAAUAAUAUUUUCUAUGAUUUCACUUAUGAAUAUGCGGAACUAAUUUCUUUUGCUAGGGCGAAACCUUGAGCCUUAGCAUGAAUAUGUGAUUUUUAUUUAAUUGCUUAUGAUCGAUUGCAUGCGUACUUUGAAUUGUUAAUCACCGAGAGAUAAAAACUAUCUAAUUGUCGUAAUGCAUGAUCACCAUUAGGAUCUUUAGAAAAGUAAUUUGAUGCAAUUUUGGUCGGAAGGUUCCCUGAAAUUGACGCUGGCUUCUUGUGAUUAAUAAUUGUAAUUUCGCUUAGGAUGAAUAUCACGUCUUAAGGAUUGCAUGGUUUUUCAAAGGAUUUUCAUAAAGCAUAAUGAGUCUUUCAUGUUCAUAUUUGAUCCGAACGUCCGGACGGGUUGCAUGUUAGAUAUACAUUCUAUGUUUGAGGUUCCAAGUAGAAUAUGAAUUAGGAAAAUCUAACCUUCAAAAUGGCAUGUGUAGAUCAUAAGUAAUUGGUAAAAAUUCAUAGGAUUGCUAGGUGAUGGUGGAACCCUAGUGCUUUCUUAAUUUGAUUUUCUCAAAACUGUUUUUUUCUCUCUAGCUCUAAUAUUGCAGAUUGUUUAUUUUAAUUCAUUAAUUUCGUUUUUAUUUUAAUUAGGUUUUAAAAUCAAUCACUUCAAUUUCUACUUUACAAUCAUUAAUUGGAAUCUGAUUUGUUUCGAAUUAUUUAAUAAUCCCUGUGGAGAAUGACCUUGCGAGAUCCGUUUAUACUACAAUAACCUUGUGAUUCUUGCAAGUAAAAUAGGAGGUUUUUAUCGCAUUCACAUAAGCAGAAAAAAUCUUAUCAAGAAAAUGGCGCCGUUGCCGGGGAUUAUUUAAAAUAAUCCCUACGAAUCAGAUUUUCAAUUAGUAUUGCUGUUUAUACAUAUAUAAAAAAAAAAACAAAAAAAAUAUUUAAUUUUCGUUUUCAUCUAUUUUUACAGAUUACAACAGUACAGAUUUCAGAAAUCUGUGCAUGGUCAGCACCCGUUCAACAGUGCAAAAAUUGAUUCCAUUUGAUCCAGAAUUUGAACAGCAUUUAAGGAGGAAACGCAGGGAACAACAUUUGCAGCGGGUUCGUCCUCUGCAGGAGAGGUUUCUGGAAUCAGUCUUUUCUGGGGACCUGCACAACAAAGAAAAAAUGGCGUUUAUAAUUCCAGAGGCAGGUCUGCCCCUGGGUGAUUCACUGACUGCCCAUACCACAAAUAUACCCAGUUGCAUCACAUAUCCGGCAGUGGAGGAAGGGACUGCAUUUGAAAUAAAACAGCACAUGUUGAAUAUUCUACCUACGUUUCAUGGGUUGUCAUCUGAUGAUCCUAACAUGCACAUUGCAGAAUUUUUAAUGGGGUGCAAAAACAUUUUGGUGAGAGGAUUUUCAGCUGAAUCUAUUAAGCUGCGGUUAUUUCCAUACACUCUAAAAGAUCAGGCAAGGAGAUGGCUCCUCACACUCCCAUCAGGAAGCAUUACAACUUGGGCCCAACUCAGUGAAAAAUUUCUAAACAAGUAUUAUCCGGCUUCUAAGACCCUUGACAUGAGAACUCAGAUUUUAUCGUUCGCCCAAAAACCAAAUGAAGAGUUUCAUGAGGCGUGGGAGCGAUUUAAGGAGUUGAUUAGAAAAUGUCCGCAUUCGGGUAUUAACACUACUGAUCAAAUGCACAUAUUUUUCAGAGGGUUGAAUAUGACAACAAAAACUCUUGUCAACGCUUCAUGCGGAGGUACGUACAAAGACAAAAAUGCACAAGAAGCUUGUUUGUUAUUUGAAAAAAUGGCAGAAGAUACUCAGCAGUGGGCAGUGGAGCAGCCACAAUCUAGGUCAGCUUUUGAGAUGUCUACUGGUUCUCCAUAUGUUACAGCACAAAUUGAAAAAAUGGAGAAAAGGCUUGACGCAAAAUUUGACAUGUUAUUACAAAGAAUGCCAGGUUCUCAAGUUGCUGUACAGCAGCCCUUACAAGCUGCCUGCAGUAUUUGCAACAUGAUAACUCACGAUUUUAUGAGCUGCCCACAUAAAGAUGUUUCACCAGAUUUUACAGCAGAGCAGGUUAAUUCAUUUAACAAUUUCCAGCGGCCCAGAUAUGACCCAUAUUCUAAUUUCUACAACCCCGGAUGGAGAGAUCAUCCUAAUCUAAGGUGGGACAAGGAACAGCACACUAGGCCUCAAUUUCAACAGCAGGUACAGUAACCUGCUGCACCUAAGGCUGCUUGGGAAGUUGCAAUUGAAAAAUUGGCAAAUACUACCACUCAAGAAAUUCAAAAUCUACAUGCAGCAGUGAAAAACAUCGAAAAACAGAUGGGGCAGAUUGCUUUACAGGUUUCAGAAAGAGCUCCGGGUACAUUUCCUAGUCAAACAGUACCUAAUCCAAGAGGACGAGAAGAAUGCAAUGCUAUACGGACUCUACGGUCUGGCAAAAGUUACAACAACAAACAUGAAAAUUCUGUUGGGAAUUCACAGGCAGCAGAACUAUCCCAAACUAAAUCUGCAAUUAUUGCAGAUUCUGAAAUUUCUGCAAAUUCUGGGCAGUCCCAAGACAGAUCCGAAAAUACUGCAGAAGCUUCCACAAAAACUGCAGAACGUGUUUACGAACCCCCUAUGCCGUAUCCAGAAAGGUUGAGACCUAAAGCUAAAGAUCAACAGUUAACAGAUUUUAUGAAAACUUUGGCUAAAGUUCAAAUUAAUCUGCCGUUAAUUGAUGCCAUCAAGAACAUUCCAUCUUAUGCCAAGUUUUUUAAGGAUGUUUGCACAAAGAAAAAGAAGCUUGUUGAUUUUGAGAAAGUGAUUCUUACAGAACAAUGCAGUGCGGUCUUAUUACAUAAAUUGCCUCCAAAGAAAAAAGAUCCAGGGAGUUUUACUAUCUCUUGCACCAUUGGAAAUUGUGAUUUUAGUAGUGCUUUAAUUGAUUUAGGUGCUAGUGUAAACUUAAUGCCAUAUUCUGUUUUCAAACGUUUAGGUGAAGGGGAGCUGAAGCCAACCUCCAGUAUUAUUCAAUUGGCUGACCGUUCAAUUACCUACCCUAGAGGAGUCAUUGAAGAUGUUAUUGUGAAGGUUGACAAUUUAUAUUUACCAGCUGAUUUUAUGGUGUUGGACAUGGAUGAGGAUUUGACAACGCCCAUUAUUUUGGGCCGCCCAUUUCUGGCAACAGCCCGAACUCUUAUUGACGUUGAAGCCGGAACAUUAACAUUCCGAGUUGAAAAUCAAACUGUUGUUUUCAAGUUGUUUGAAGCAAGCAUACAUUCAGGUGACAAGCAAGAAUGCAUGCGUGUUGAUGCAUUGGAUGGUUUACCAAGUGCCAAGUUUAUGAACAGAUCAUCAACUGACCAUCUGUCCAUAAAGCCCCCGAAUUUAACUCCUGAUUUUACAAGUCCUAAACCACAGCAGCAAAGGGUGCUACAUGAAGACCAGCCAAUGAACACAUUGAAAAAACAUGAAAAUUUGCCAAGCAGCCCAAAUUUUAAGAAAAUACAGCCUGGUAAAGAAGUGUGGUUAUUAAGUUCAGAUUUCAAGUCAUUUCCAGGGAAACAAGAGUCUAGAUGGAAAGGCCAUUUUCUGGUUACUAAAGUUUUUCAGAAUGGUAAUGUGGACAUUAAGGCUAAGGGCACAGAUUUCUCAUUGAAAGUGACCAAACAUCAACUAAAACCAUGCAUAGAGAAAUUUGGUGUAGGCAAGUCUUUGACUCUAAAGGCACCAAUGAUCUAGCCACCGGACUUCGGCAACGUCUAGCUACAGACUUAAAAUAAAGCGCUUAUUGGGAGGCAACCCAAUUUUUCUAAACUCUUUCUUAAUUUUAAUUUUCGUUUGAUUUUCUCUUUAAUAUAAAAAAAUAAAAAAUAAAAACUAAAAAAAACAAAACAAAAAAAUAAUAAAAAAAAAAAAAAACAAAAUUUGAAAAAAAUGGAAGAUUGCAUAUUGAUUUUAUUUAUCCAGUUUAUUUGAUUUUAUUUUAAUUUUUUGACGCAUAUUGGUUAAUUGCAGGUUGCGAACGUGGAAAAUAAAGCGCGUCCUAUGCUGGAAUCCUGCACCCAGCAGCAAGCCUAACGUUCACAUCAACCACAUCUACACUAUGCUGGAAAUUUACAGUAGUCCACAUAAAAAGCCAUUCACAGAUGCAAGUUUGGGGGUGAUUGUUGCAGAUCCAGCACAUAAACAGAAUUUAGAGCAGUUAAUUUCUGCAGCUCAGUUUUGCGAUGCAUGGAGGAAGCACAAUUAAAUCACAGAUCCAUACACCACAGAACUGAGUACAUAUAUUAUUACCAGAUCUACAACAACUACACUUGCAGGGAUUCGAAUUUUACCUCCCAGAUGCAUCGAUCUGGGUCAUGCGGCCUGUGCUGUUUUCCUCCGUUGCUCUUGUGUGUUUACUUCUGUGUCCUUGGCUCUAUCAUGGAUCCGUAUACCCCUACAUAAAGACCCAACAAUAUGAGUACAUACAGGUUUACAUAUGGCAUUCAAAUGAACUGUUGUUGAACUUGUAAAUGUUGAGCUUAGCAAAAGCAGACGAACGAGAUCUGUACCUAUAUGACAUACAGAGGCCGCGACAGUUGCUGUUGAUUUUGCUUCAGGAACCACUAGACCGGAAGCUCAUAGUUGUUGUCUCUCGGUUGUACGCUGGAGUUGAGGGAAAAGUUUUCAGUCACAGUAGUGGUUUUAUUAUUCAACUCUCAGAUCAUCAUUCAUCAAUAAAAAGGGUUACGGGUUUUACCUCAACAUUUGCAGAUCCUUGGUUGAGCUGAGCUGACUCCGGGUGUGUUCUUGUGUUGUUGUAUUGGAUUUGAAACCAUUAGGGCUCUUCCCACUGAUAAACCACAUGCAGGUGUUAGUGUUUGUUCCAGAUCUCUCUAACAAAUAAAUUGGACACUGCAACCACAAGAUUGGAGGAUGAUUUUACCUUUGGGUUUCCGUUUUUCCGAUUUUCCACCACGGCGGGGUACUCACGGCGGUGUGUUGUUGUUGGGUUAUGGACGGCUACGGAUGCAUCAAUCUGCGAGGAAACUGAGACAUACACAGAACAGUCAAAUGCAUCAGUCACAAACAUUUUCAUUUUACUCUUGGUGAUGAAGUUAGCAGAAAUGGAGCUACAUCUUUACAUUUGAACGAACAAAAGGAGAAAUGGCAUGGCUUCGUUUUUACCUGCAAAGGGGGGAUUUUUGGACGAACUGUUUUAGUUCUGCUCGUUUGGGUCUCCGUAUUGCGGACCAGAGCCCUAUUAUAGAGGAAUCAGACAUGCCUGUGUCGCUCCACCAUGGAUGGGGUUUGAGAGCAAAUCGAGAGAAAUGCGAAAAAAAAAAUAAAUGGAAGGGAUAAGGUUUUUGCAUUUUUUUUUGAGUAAUGAAGGAGAGAGAGCAGAGAUAUGGGGAAAUGAGAGAAGAAAAUAGAGAGAUAAAAAACCUUUUCAGAUUUUCUAGAGAGAGGACGAUGGGCAUCUUGGAUUGAUCUUCACCCUUACUUUGGAAUCCUAUGGAGCUCCCUGCCGUGAUGCUUGCCACGUGUCAAAGCUGGUGUAUUCCCAGGUCUAUUCAUGGGACUCGGUUUGCAUUAAAGAAAAAGAAGAGCCGUUCGGCUCGGGACCCAAUAUUUGCCGGAUUUUUUUUUUUUUUUUUUUUUUUUUUGAAAGGCAUGCAGGCUUUGGUCAUAUCUCCAUCAAGUGGGCACUGUUAUCUGAUAAGUUUAUUUUAAAAAAAAAUAAAAUAAAAUAUUUUGCACGCCAGCUGCCCACCACUUGUCACACGGCAUGCCAAUUGCAUGCCAUUCCAAGAAGCGAAUCCAAUGCUUUUCCACAACUAGUGCUAGGAGUUGGUGCACAUGUGCCGUGCACAUGGCCUUGGUUGUGGGCCGGUUCUCCAUGAAUGGGUUAGAGGCGUUUUGUCCAGCCACUUCAUUGUCCAGCCAGGUACUAUCUUUCUUUGUUUUAGUUUUGUUAAUCAUUUUCACUUUUAUAAUUAUUAUAUUUUAGUUUAAGUUUAUUUCAUUUUUAUCAUAUUUCUUUUAUUUUCUACACCUUGAGGACAAAGUGUGAAAUAAGUUUGGGGGUGGGAAAGUAAAUUUUAGUUUUUUUUAUUUUUAUUGUGUCCGUUUAAAAAUUUUCAUUCUUGUUAAGUUAAUAUCCAUAGAUUAUUUUAAACAUUGGAACAAAUGGACAUGGUGAAAGUUAAUCCCACAUUAGAGUCUUUUCUAUUUAUCGUUGCUUAGACACUAAUUCAUGAAUUAUACUUUGAACUUUGCACAUCACACCAACAUGGUUUGUGGGGAGUGAGAUUGAAAUACUUGCUUUUAGUCUAAGUUUAUUUUUAUUUUUUAUUUUUUAUUUUAAGUAAAGUCAGUUAUUAGUGUGAAAAAAAAAAUUAAAUAAAUAAAUAAAGUAAUAAUUGUCUCACCCGAGGUUCUGCCUAGUAACCGGGCCAGUCCUGCCUAAUCAGCAGUGAUUCUCGCGUCAAACGGUAGAGUUUUGGCAUGAGGCAGGGUGGUUAGUUGGUUUCGUAGCCUUUUCAGCUCGGGUUAAUAAGUCCUUAGGGGUGUUCUACACCUAGUGUCCUAAAGCCCUAGUGGUUUGGGAGUCAUUGACCUAAAGCUCGCUACAUGGGUUGGAUCGAAAGCUUAAGUAAACCGACAUUGCACGACCACUACUGUUACUGGAAAAAAAAAAUGUUAUAUAUGAAAAAAAAAAAAGUGAAAAAGAAAAAAAAAGAAAAAGAAAGAGAGUUAUAUUUUAAAGUUACUAUGUGUGAAAUAAAUAAGGACGAGAGGUAAGGGUUUUAGUCGAGUCUCCUUAAUUAUGUUGGUUCACUUUACACCAAAGGAAGUUUGUGAAUUCUUUUCUAAUUGAUUCUAAAUGGCUUAGACUCUGUGGUGGGAUUGGUUGGAACUUUUGAAAAAGAUGUUCUAGUUUUUUAAAAUUUGCUAUGGAUUGCAACUUUGAAGGUGAAAAUUUUUGUCAGUUAAUUUUAGCUAGUUAGUUUGUUAAGUUUUUAUUUUUGUUUGAGUCUUGUUUUGCUUGAGGACAAGCAAAAAGCUAAGUUUGGGGGUAUUUGAUGAGUAGAUUUUAUAUUAUAUAUUUGACCCUAAUCUUAGUAUAUUUUGGUUAAUAUAUUGGAAGAAUUUUGAUACUUUGAAUUGUAUUUUCAAUAUAUAGGACUUUCGACUUCCUCUGGAGAAAAAACAGGACCAAAUGGACGAAUUUUGGAGUAAUUCCAAUUGGAGGACGUUCGUGAGUCAAUUAGCUUGAUCGUAUCAAAAUUUGGGAUUUUUCCACCAAGCAGUUAUUUUCUGGCGAUGAAAUAAAGAAGCAGUGCGCAGUGCUGGAAAGUGACGUUUUUAGGCUUAAAUGACGUUUUUGGAGCCCAAGAUGACCUCGGAUGGGUUCGUGGCCUUCUGGAAAAGUGUUCAGAAUAUUCCAAACAUCAAAUCCAGCUAUAUUGGGCCAGUUUUGGAGCAGCUUUUGGGCCAAAACGUGGCUGUUCAGAUUUUAGACGAAUUUUACUAUUUUUAUUUAGGGUUUUUAUUAAUUUUAGUUGGCUAGGGUUUUUGUGGUGGCUUAGCAAAUAUAUUGCUGAGCCGUCUACAGUUUAUGGUACGUUUUAUUUUAUGCAAUAUUGGAGACAGGGAGAAGUGCUAGGGUUUUGAAGAUUUUCUACUUGAAGGUGUUUUCAAUCCUUUUCUUAA
Molecule: long non-coding RNA, 8252 nt
Filed under: Malus domestica (apple)
Lineage: Eukaryota; Viridiplantae; Streptophyta; Magnoliopsida; Rosales; Rosaceae
Description: long non-coding RNA (MDOM_LNC014521)
Source: RNAcentral